Molecule: long non-coding RNA, 1021 nt
Filed under: Olea europaea subsp. europaea
Lineage: Eukaryota; Viridiplantae; Streptophyta; Magnoliopsida; Lamiales; Oleaceae
Source: RNAcentral
UUGAAGUAUAUGUCUAAGAGGUUGGUUGGUGAGCACAACAAUUGGAUGUGACUGGAAGUACAACUGUAAUUUUCUGGCAGCUAGCUGUUCCGCAAGCGUGUAUCGUGUUUCUGCAUCGAGGAGCACUUUACUUACAUAGUAAACAGGUUGCUGAACUCUUCCUUUUUCCUUUACCAAGACAUCGCUUAAUGCGUUGUGAGAAAUGGCCAAGUAUAAUAGCAGCGUGUCACCGGGUUCGGGUUUAGUAAGGACUGGAUGCGUUGAUAAUGUCUGCUUGAGCUCCUGAAAAGCUAAGUUGCAUUCCUCGUUCCAGUCGAAACCUUUAUUUCCCCUAAGUAGUUUGAAAAAGGGAAAACACAUGUCUGCUGUCCGGGAAACAAACCUGUUCAAUGCUGAUACACGACCUGUCAACUUCUGAAUGUCCCUUUUGCACUUAGGAGCCUCCAUACUUAUUAGAGCUUGUAUUUUAUUAGGAUUCGCCUCUAUUUCUCUGUGCAUGAUCAUAAAACCCAAGAAUUUUCUAGAUGCCACCCCAAACGCACACUUUGCCGGAUUGAGCUUCAUGUUGUACCUCCGUAACGUAGCAAACACUUCCUCUAGAUCAGAAACAUGGCUAUUCAACUGUUUGCUCUUAACCACCAUAGCAUCCACAUAUACUUCGAUCGUUUCCCAAUUAGCUUGGCGAAGAUCUUGUUCACCAACCUUUGAUAUGUUGCUCCAGCAUUCUUCAGUCCAAAGGGCAUGACCCUGUAGCAGUAGAUGGUUGAAUUUGCCAUGAACGAGGUCUUCUUCUGCCAUGAGAAUUUGGUGAUACCCUGAGAAAGCAUCCAAGAAACUGUAUAGCAUAUGGCCUGACGUGCUAUCUACCAGAUUGUCGAUUCGAGGUAAGGGAUAACUGUCUUUGGGGCAUGCUUUAUUCAGAUCUGUGAUGUCAAUGCAAACUCGCCACUUUCCAUUAGCUUUCUUGACAAGAACCACGUUGGCAAGCCAUUCGAGAUAUUGUACUUCUCGAACGAACUGU